Long non-coding RNA from Trachemys scripta elegans, 1039 nucleotides. RefSeq lists it as uncharacterized. The transcript has 3 exons. The record is from RefSeq and is a predicted model, not a curated record. Lineage: Eukaryota; Metazoa; Chordata; Testudines; Emydidae.
CUGGGAAAGGGGUUAGAGUCCCCGAGAAAGGGGUUAGAGUCCCCGGGAAAGGGGUUAGAGUCCCCAGAGAGGGGUUAAAGUCCCCGGAGAGGGGUUAGAGUCCCCAGUGAGGGGUUAGAGUCCCCGGAGUAGGGUUAGAGUCCCUACAGGCUAAAUGGGACAGUUUGGCAGCAAGUGCCCGGGGGACGCCCCGUUGUCUCUGGUACUUAGAAAUUGGAAGGAAAUCUCUGGAACAACCGGUUUGACUAAAUCUAAAUGAGAAACUUAUGCCAAAUUCAAUGGCCUUCCUUUACUACCCAUUUGUCCCCGACUAAAGACUGGCCAAGGUGCAGAACCUUUUUUGUUGACAGGGUGGAUUCCCUCAGGAAUAUCCUGGUUGAUCUUAGACCAGGACAAAUGGAUUAUUUAUUUGUAUGGUAUAACUAUAAACCAAAAGAAAAACUGCUUUCGGCCCCAGCUGGCUGUGAAAAAAUAUAGACAGAGGCAAACCAAAGGCAGUACAAGUUACAGUGCUGAGAUUACAUUUGCAAAGCUUAACUAUCAAGUGAGAUCCAACAGUUUGCCUUUGAGACCCUGGAGCUGGCGUGGUUUGGGGAUGCUGAAGAAGCCACAGGCAGCCGGCCUGGACUGGAAUCUCUGAAAGAGACUCUGCAGGAGAACCCAGGGUGUAAAAGAACAGCCCUCCCAAGAGUGAGAAGUUAACUCUAUAGUUGCUAGAGGGAAUUAAGCAGUGAAACUUGGUUUUUUCCACAGGUAAAGAAGCACUACCUAAAGACGGUAGCAGUCCUGCCAUUCAUUGAAACCAGGAGACUGAGUCUAUGUAAAGUCCAUUAACGAAAGACUGCUUUGACUCCAUGCUGGAAAGGCCCUUUCCAAGUCCUGUUAACCACCAACACUGCUGUGAAGUGCCAAGGACUGCCUACCUGGACUCAUACUUCUCACUGCAAAAAGACCCCUAAACCUCGGGAGGACUCUCCGACUGAUGAUCAGCCUAUUCCUCCUUCUAACUCUGCUGUGCCUUCUGGACAGCAGGGUAAAG